UACGUAGGGUGCAAGCGUUAAUCGGAAUUACUGGGCGCAAAGCGUGCGCAGGUGGUUCGGUAAGACAGUUGUGAAAUCCCCGGGCUUAACCUGGGAACUGCAAUUGUGACUGGCGGACUAGAGUUUGGCAGAGGGGGGUGGAAUUCCUGGUGUAGCAGUGAAAUGCGUAGAUAUCAGGAGGAACACCGAUGGCGAAGGCAGCCACCUGGGCCAUGACUGACACUCAUGCACGAAAGCGUGGGGAGCAGACACG
This 253-nucleotide ribosomal RNA is filed under the name uncultured bacterium. RNAcentral describes it as "partial 16S ribosomal RNA". It matches the Rfam family "Bacterial small subunit ribosomal RNA", at positions 524 to 776 of the family's 1533-position model. The record is from RNAcentral.